This 400-nucleotide ribosomal RNA is filed under the name uncultured Saprolegniales. RNAcentral describes it as "partial small subunit ribosomal RNA". It matches the Rfam family "Eukaryotic small subunit ribosomal RNA", at positions 30 to 432 of the family's 1831-position model. Lineage: Eukaryota; Oomycota; Saprolegniomycetes; Saprolegniales. The record is from RNAcentral.
GCUUGUCUCAAAGAUUAAGCCAUGCAUGUCUAAGUAUAAACAACUUUGUACUGUGAAACUGCGAAUGGCUCAUUAUAUCAGUUAUAGUCUACUCGAUAGUACCUUACUACUUGGAUAACCGUAGUAAUUCUAGAGCUAAUACAUGCGUAAAUACCCAACUGCUUGUCGGACGGGUAGCAUUUAUUAGAUUGAAACCAAUGCAGCUUCGGCUGGUAUUGUGUUGAGUCAUAAUAACUGUGCGGAUCGCUUUUUAAGCGAUAAAUCGAUUGAGUUUCUGCCCUAUCAACUGUCGACUGUGAUAUAGACGCUCACAGUGGUUUUGACGGGUAACGGGGAAUCAGGGUUCGAUUCCGGAGAGGGAGCCUUAAAAACGGCUACCACAUCCAAGGAAGGCAGCAGG